This 894-nucleotide small RNA is filed under the name Pongo abelii (Sumatran orangutan). Its description in RNAcentral is "processed transcript". The record is from RNAcentral. Lineage: Eukaryota; Metazoa; Chordata; Mammalia; Primates; Hominidae.
GUGCACCUGACUGCUCACAGCUCUCUCGUCUGCCCCUUGUCCCUGGGUGGGAGCCUGGGCCUACGACCUGAGCCACCUGUCAACUUCCCUUACCUGCAUUAUGAUGCCCAAGGCCAAGUGCCCCUCUUGGUGUCUUCUUACAGGCCACUCUGCCCUUCCACUGCAGUGCCAUCCUGGCUACAGCCCUGGACACAGUCACUGUUCCUUAUCGCCUGUGUUCUUCUCCAGUUUCCAUGGUUCAUCUGGCUGACAUGCUGAGCUUCUGUGGGAAAAAGGUAUGAAGCUUUGUGAGGGGUUGGGUCAGUGCUGAGAAAAUGUCCUAUAACGUGUUCUCUUCCUUCUCUUUAGGUGGUGACAGCAGGAGCAAUCAUCCCUUUCCCCUUGGCUCCAGGCCAGUCCCUUCCUGAUUCCCUGAUGCAGUUUGGAGGAGCCACCCCAUGGACCCCACUGUCUGCAUGUGGGGAGCCUUCUGGAACACGUUGCUUUGCCCAGUCAGUGGUGCUGAGGGGUAUAGACAGAGCAUGCCACACAAGCCAGCUCACCCCAGGGACACCUCCACCCUCCGCCCUUCAUGCAUGUACCACUGGGGAAGAAGUCUUGGCUCAGUAUUUACAACAGCAGCAGCCUGGAGUGAUGAGUUCUUCCCGUCUGCUGCUGACUCCCUGCAGGGUGGCUCCUCCUUACCCCCACCUCUUCUCAAGCUGCGGUCCACCGGGUAUGGUUCUGGAUGGUUUCCCCAAGGGAGCAGCAGUGGAGAGCAUCCCAGUGUUUGGGGCACUGUGUUCCUCUUCGUCCCUGCACCAGACCCUGGAAGCCUUGGCCAGAGACCUCACCAAACUCGACUUGCGGCGCUGGGCCAGCUUCAUGGAUGCUGGAGUGGAGCACGAUGACAUA